Molecule: long non-coding RNA, 680 nt
Organism: Aegilops tauschii subsp. strangulata
Lineage: Eukaryota; Viridiplantae; Streptophyta; Magnoliopsida; Poales; Poaceae
Source: RefSeq, a predicted model, not a curated record
UCUUUUUAAAAGAUUGGUCGGGUCGUAAGCCGUUCGAUCUGCACACGAGGUGAUUGCAACAUGAUCCUUGUUGUAGAAACAUCCUGUAACAUUAGGUUUGUUACAUUUGCAAAAUAUAUAUUUUUAGGGGUGUUUGUGAAAAAGAAUUACGGGAAGAGAGGCAGUCAACGGAAAAAAAAAGAAGAAUUAACAAAUCGCAGCUGAUGUUUGGUGCCCGUCCGAUCUGUGGCUGCGGGCGUGUCUCCGGAGCAGAGGAGGCGUGAGAGAAAGAUGUCGGAGAGGCGGCGAGCCAAUGUUUCUUCCGGUGGCCGGUGCCGCGGAGGUUGCCCGGAGACGGAGCCGGCACCGGCGGCAUCCUAUCCUAAAGCUCGAGUGGGGACACUCAUCGUGGCUUGAUCUUACUCCCUGCUCCAUGCUCGGCUCUGGAGGAGGAAGAUGGAGUCGCUGGAGCAGAGCAGUCUGCGUUUCAUAUUUCUUACCGGCAUCCGCUUGCUCUGCCAAUUCUUUAGUUCAGGCAUACAGGUAAAAGAAAAGGAAAACCAUCUGUAAAAUGUAGGACCAUAUAGCAUUUCCACAGUCAUAUAGCAUUGUCAAGAGCAUACAAAUAGACGAUCCUGUAACUGAAUGAAGGUCCAUGUUAAAACAGAAAGCCCACCAAAUUGACAUGCUCACGUACUGAA